RNAcentral lists this long non-coding RNA (831 nucleotides) under Marmota monax (woodchuck). The stretch from base 522 to 584 matches the Rfam family "tRNA". The record is from RNAcentral. Lineage: Eukaryota; Metazoa; Chordata; Mammalia; Rodentia; Sciuridae.
GCUAGUGGUUCCUAGUCGUGGGGCACCAUUCCCUUAGUUCUAGGGAGAGGAAAAACAAACAAAAAACCAUCCAAACCAGACACCAUCACACUACUUGUCCCAAUUCUUAGUGGCAUCUCUGGCCCAGCUCUGACGUGUUCUGAAACUCUGCCACUCAGAGCCUUAGUUGACCAACUCUGUAAAAUGGGACCAAAUGCUUCCGUAUUCAUGGGUGAGGAUAGGACUAAAUGACCCGGUACCCCGGUGACGGGAAGGAUGGAGGCACCUUGAAAAACACUAACUGCAGGAAGUGGCUUAUUAAAAACAAACCAAAACUUUAAAGUGGUGUAGGCACAUGGCAAAAAAGAAACUCUCACUCCUACUCCUCAUCCUCCAUGCCUACUUUUCCUCCCUGGAGAUGACAUCACCUUCUUGCAUAUCCUUCCAGAUAGCCUACCCAUGCACAAUUAUUUUUAACACAAACAGAACAUGCCAAGUACAUUAUCCCACACCAUGUGUGUUCUAUUAAGAGUCUAGGGACUAGGGAUGUGGCUCAGUGGUAGAGUGCUUGCCUGACAUGCAGGAAACCCUGAUUCCAAUCCCUUGGCUGCAAACAAACAAACAAAGAGUGGGUCUAAGAGACGGCUGCUUAUAAAUGUCUGUGAGGCUGCCACAUGGUUUCUCAGUGGUGGGGCCAAGUGUUCUCUUAUGUAGAUAUACUGUGCCUAAAGGUAUUUCACCCAACCCCUACUGAUGGGUGUCUAGAUUGCUUUGAGCUUGCUGCAAUGUAUCUUUGAAAGUUCGAAAAUUAUUCCAUCUAACACACAUUCUGGAGAACAUUUAAAAAAAAAA